RNAcentral lists this transfer RNA (77 nucleotides) under Aneurinibacillus soli. Its description in RNAcentral is "tRNA-Pro". It matches the Rfam family "tRNA". From Rfam's summary of the family: Transfer RNA (tRNA) molecules are approximately 80 nucleotides in length. Their secondary structure includes four short double-helical elements and three loops (D, anti-codon, and T loops). The record is from RNAcentral. Lineage: Bacteria; Bacillati; Bacillota; Bacilli; Caryophanales; Paenibacillaceae.
UCGGGAAAUGGCUCAGCUUGGUAGAGCGCCUCGUUCGGGACGAGAAGGUCGCAGUUUCAAAUCCUGUCUUCCCGAUC